GUCUAUGGCCAUGCCACCCUGAAUAAGCUCGAUGUCUGAUCUCAGAAGCUAAGCAGGGUUGGACCUGGUUAGUACUUGGAUGGGAUACCACCCAGGAAGAUCAGGUGCUGUAGGUG
Molecule: non-coding RNA, 116 nt
Organism: Pteropus alecto (black flying fox)
Lineage: Eukaryota; Metazoa; Chordata; Mammalia; Chiroptera; Pteropodidae
Source: Rfam